GCUUUACUGUAUCCUGGAAUUGAAUUUGGGUUUAUUUUGCGCAGUAUAGGUGGGAGGCUAAGACUGUUUAUUUGCGGAUAUUCAUGAGCCAUCAGUGAGAUACCACUCUAAUUAAACUAGAAUUCUAACUUUGAUAGUCGUUAACCGGCCAAAGAACAGUUUCAGGUGGGCAGUUUGACUGGGGCGGUCGCCUCCUAAAAGGUAACGGAGGCGUGCAAAGGUUUCUUCAGGCUGGUUGGAAAUCAGUCGUAGAGUGUAAAGGCAUAAAGAAGCUUGACUGCAAGACCUACAAGUCGAGCAGAGACGAAAGUCGGCCUUAGUGAUCCGACAGUACUGAGUGGAAAGGCUGUCGCUCAACGGAUAAAAGUUA
RNAcentral lists this ribosomal RNA (370 nucleotides) under Ceramium sp. 2 DWF-2013. Its description in RNAcentral is "bacterial LSU rRNA". It matches the Rfam family "Bacterial large subunit ribosomal RNA", at positions 2098 to 2465 of the family's 2925-position model. Lineage: Eukaryota; Rhodophyta; Florideophyceae; Ceramiales; Ceramiaceae. The record is from RNAcentral.